RNAcentral lists this long non-coding RNA (381 nucleotides) under Zostera marina. RNAcentral's name for it is "long non-coding RNA (ZMAR_LNC005291)". Lineage: Eukaryota; Viridiplantae; Streptophyta; Magnoliopsida; Alismatales; Zosteraceae. The record is from RNAcentral.
UCGGAGAAGGAGGCAGAUCGGAGCUUCGGGAUGAGAAACUUCCGGUAUCUUAAUACCAUCAAAGAGGCGGUGGAGAGAGAAUGCCCCAACGUAGUCUCCUGCGCUGAUAUUCUCGUUCUGUCCGGUAGAGAAGGCGUUGCUGCGGUAUAAGAGUCGAUUUAUUUAUACAUGCAUGGCAAUAUGGCAUACAUCUUAAUCAUUUCAUUAUAUAUAAUUUCAGUUGGGAGGACCGUACAUUCCACUGAAGACCGGGAGAAGAGAUGGGUACAGAAGCCGUUCAUCCUCUGUUCUGGAAGAGUAUCUACCCGACCACAACGAGAGCAUCUCUACCGUGCUUGAGAAGUUCGCAGCCAUGGAUGUGGACACUCCCGGACUGGUGGC